GCCAGGUGUGGCGGUGCAUGCCUGUAAUCCCAACUCCUUGGGAGGCUGAGACAGGAGAAUCGCUUGAACCCAGGAGGUGGAGGUUGCAGUGAGCCGAGAUCGUGCCACUGCACUCCAGCCUGGGUGACAGAGCCAGAUUUUGUCUCAA
Unclassified non-coding RNA from Papio anubis (olive baboon), 148 nucleotides. It matches the Rfam family "Metazoan signal recognition particle RNA". Rfam says of the family: The signal recognition particle (SRP) is a universally conserved ribonucleoprotein. It is involved in the co-translational targeting of proteins to membranes. The eukaryotic SRP consists of a 300-nucleotide 7S RNA and six proteins: SRPs 72, 68, 54, 19, 14, and 9. The record is from Ensembl. Lineage: Eukaryota; Metazoa; Chordata; Mammalia; Primates; Cercopithecidae.